UACAGAGGGUGCGAGCGUUAAUCGGAAUUACUGGGCGUAAAGCGCACGUAGGCGGCUUUGCAAGUCGGGUGUGAAAUCCCCGGGCUCAACCUGGGAACUGCAUCCGAGACUGCUUUGCUCGAGUAUGGGAGAGGGAAGUGGAAUUUCCGGUAUAGCGGUGAAAUGCGUAGAUAUCGGAAGGAACAUCAGUGGCGAAGGCGACUUCCUGGACCAAUACUGACGCUCAGGUGCGAAAGCGUGGGGAGCAAACAGG
Molecule: ribosomal RNA, 253 nt
Filed under: uncultured bacterium
Lineage: Bacteria
Description: partial 16S ribosomal RNA
Rfam family: Bacterial small subunit ribosomal RNA
Source: RNAcentral